UACGUAGGGGGCAAGCGUUGUCCGGAUUUAUUGGGCGUAAAGAGCGUGUAGGCGGCCAUGUAGGUCCGUUGUGAAAACUCGAGGCUCAACCUCGAGACGCCGGUGGAAACCAUCUAGCUAGAGUCCGGAAGAGGAGAGUGGAAUUCCUGGUGUAGCGGUGAAAUGCGCAGAUAUCAGGAAGAACACCCGUGGCGAAGGCGGCUCUCUGGGACGUGACUGACGCUGAGACGCGAAAGCGUGGGGAGCGAACAGG
Molecule: ribosomal RNA, 253 nt
Filed under: uncultured bacterium
Lineage: Bacteria
Description: partial 16S ribosomal RNA
Rfam family: Bacterial small subunit ribosomal RNA
Source: RNAcentral